AUGAACUCCUGAUAUGUUAUGAUUCAUACUUUCACUUCUGUUUCUUAAUACUAUCAUUUUGAAAAAGUGAAAAUGAAACUGUUUCAUUGGUGAACAGUUCACAAGGGAGAAGAAAAGUCCUUCUGCCUCACCAUCCUAGAGCACUGGGAUUACAAGAAUGCACCGUCAUGGCUGGAUACACACAGGUAUGAGGUGGCCUGGACAUCUGAGGUAGCCCGGACAUCUGAGGCACCAGAGACCUUCCACUUAGAGAAGACCACAGAGUUACAUCCACGUGUUCCAGAGCAUUAGGUGGAUUGCAAGGAAGUACAAUUUCUCUUUGCCUCUUUCAGAAGAAAUACAUAGUUUUAACUGCAUGAAUCUUCUCCAAAUGGGCAAAAUUUAAAAGAUUUUUUUAAACAAAGGUCAUACUAAAAUGCAAGAAUUUUCACUGCUGAAAGGCAACAUUUUCACUGUUGCCAGUUAUCCUCAUGGUGCAGUCCUGAGUACCUGGAAUCCCAGCUAUACAAGAGGCUGAAGCAGGAGUAUCACGAGUCCAGACUAGAGACAGCAGAGCCAGACCUCAUCUCAAGAGCUAUAAAAGAAAACAACAAGAGGAAAACCAGCAAAAAACAGCCAAGCUCCACUGCCUUCAAAAUAAUAAGUCAGAAGUUACUUGUGUUUUGAUAGUAACCAUGAAGAAGAGUAUAAACAAAGAUAUUCAUUAUGAAGUAGAUUACUGUUGAAGAGAUUUUGGAUAGAUUCAUUGAACAGAUAUCAUCUGACUAGGAACACGACGAGAAUGAAGAAGUUAGUGAAGAAAGACAAGACUGGUGGGCAACCAUGUGAGCAGCACAAGCUGAAGGGGGCUGUGUGAGAAGGGACCCUGAUCUGACUGGAAGCAGAGCUGAGCCAGAAGGGUCGCUGCUUCCUUCAUUUACCCCAUCCACAAUUAUUCUUCAUAAUGUUGAUCAAUAUCCACUGGAGUAGGAAAAAAUGAUGAAUUGGAAGCUGCCAGGAGUGGAGCACCUUUCCUGUGCCAUGCCCUUCUGCCGUGAUGCCUCUGCUUUGCAGUCAGCUGACCAUGGACUAAAAUCCCUGAAACUCUGAGCUAAAAUAAAUCUUUCCUCCCUUAAGUUGUGGGUGUCAGAUAUUUUGUCAGGACAGCGAAAAGGUGGCCAAUAUGCAAGAUGUUUAAAUUCUGGAGAUCUCACGUAAAGUAAAGUGACAGUACUGCAUUGUACACUUGAAAUUUGCUGAGAGUGGAUCUUAAGUGUUCUCACCAAACACAAUAAAGUAGCUACAUGAUGGUGUGCACCUGUUAUUUAGCUCAGUUGUAGUGGUCAUUUCAUAAUGUACACAUAUAUCAAAGCAUCAUGUUGUACUAUAUAUAUAUAUAUAUAUAUAUAUAUAUAUAUAUAUAUAUAAUUUUCAUUUGUAAUUCAUGCCUCAGUAAAGCUGGGAAGAAAAUCCUAAAGAGAAAAUCAAUAAAUGAGUAAAAACAUAAAGUAAAAAUUUGUAAAGCUUAAAACUGUCAAUAA
This 1520-nucleotide long non-coding RNA is filed under the name Heterocephalus glaber (naked mole-rat). RNAcentral describes it as "lncRNA (ENSHGLG00000040555.1)". Lineage: Eukaryota; Metazoa; Chordata; Mammalia; Rodentia; Bathyergidae. The record is from RNAcentral.